CGUAGGUGAACCUGCGGCGGGAUCAUUACUGAGUUUACGCUCUACAACCCUUUGUGAACAUACCUACAACUGUUGCUUCGGCGGGUAGGGUCUCCGCGACCCUCCCGGCCUCCCGCCUCCGGGCGGGUCGGCGCCCGCCGGAGGAUAACCAAACUCUGAUUUAACGACGUUUCUUCUGAGUGGUACAAGCAAAUAAUCAAAACUUUUAACAACGGAUCUCUUGGUUCUGGCAUCGAUGAAGAACGCAGCGAAAUGCGAUAAGUAAUGUGAAUUGCAGAAUUCAGUGAAUCAUCGAAUCUUUGAACGCACAUUGCGCCCGCCAGCAUUCUGGCGGGCAUGCCUGUUCGAGCGUCAUUUCAACCCUCAAGCUCUGCUUGGUGUUGGGGCCCUACAGCCGAUGUAGGCCCUCAAAGGUAGUGGCGGACCCUCCCGGAGCCUCCUUUGCGUAGUAACUUUACGUCUCGCACUGGGAUCCGGAGGGACUCUUGCCGUAAAACCCCCCAAUUUUCCAAAGGUUGACCUCGGAUCAGGUAGGAAUACCCGCUGAACUUAAGCAUAUCA
RNAcentral lists this ribosomal RNA (561 nucleotides) under Colletotrichum gloeosporioides. Its description in RNAcentral is "eukaryotic LSU rRNA". The stretch from base 201 to 354 matches the Rfam family "5.8S ribosomal RNA". Lineage: Eukaryota; Fungi; Ascomycota; Sordariomycetes; Glomerellales; Glomerellaceae. The record is from RNAcentral.